GUAUUUGAGUCCUAUAAUUUAAAUUUACAUCUUCAAAUCAUAAAAUUGCGAUCAAAAUGUUGAAGUUAAUUCCAAUAAUUUCAAUUUGCAGCUGCCACAUACAGAAUACCUUUAUUUAGGAGUAGAGACUUGUUCAUUCCAAAAUUCCAUCUCAAGCAAAAAAGAGAUCCAGCUGGGACUUGUUUUCUUGAUCAAUCACAUCAAGGAACAGGGGAUCAACGGUCACAUGACUGUCCACGUGAACCUUAAACUUGUGCUCCCACAGCACUACCUUAGCCGCUCCCUCAACAUCCACCUUAGCAUCCAGCACCAUCUCUCGCUUAGCUACGUCACUGAAAAACUUGGAGGCAUGGUGGGCCAGCUGGAGCCCAUCGAGCCGAGCCUGGAGCCGGAGCAACUUACAAGACCUGGAAGGCUGAGAGCCGGCCUCCACCUGAGCAGAUCCGAGGAGAGAUCCGUCGUAGAAGAUGGACAUGGUGGUGGAGGAGUAAUGAACUGGGGUGAUGUUGGGGUUGGUGACGUGUACUGUGAGGAGUAGCUCGGCGUCGAGGACGGGAAGGUGAAGCUUGAAGGAAGUGAAGUCGACUGAGAACAAAUGGAAGGUUGGAUCUUUGGGCUUGGCGCUAAGGAGGGCUGUU
RNAcentral lists this unclassified non-coding RNA (638 nucleotides) under Hevea brasiliensis (rubber tree). The record is from RNAcentral. Lineage: Eukaryota; Viridiplantae; Streptophyta; Magnoliopsida; Malpighiales; Euphorbiaceae.